UUUUUUUUUUUUUUUUUUUUUUUUGCGUUAAUUAGCAUUUUGCUUUGUGGAAUGUCCCCAUCCCCACUUGCAUAAUUUCAUUUUUAAUCUUUAGCUUGUAACGCUUGGAACUUUGUUAUUUGUUCUUAAUUCACAAUAAAUAUUAGGUUGUUAAUCUUUCAUAUGCUGAUACCGCAUCCAUUGAAGAAUUUGAAUUGUGCAUGAUUAUUAAUUUUAAUUUUAAUUGAAACUUCAAAUAUUAUACAUAUGAAAUGCAUACACUCCUGUUGUUAUAUUCACCGUGCGAUGUAAGAAAGACUAAUCUAUAAAUGUUCUCACAUGUUGAUUUUUGCAGUCAAAAAAUCUACUUUAUCCCUGUUCGUCGAAGGUUCGGGUAAUGCCUCGCGUAAACAGAGGCAGAGAUAUUAGCACUUCAUAACCAAAGGCCUAAGGCCUGGUUUGGAUUUUAUUUUUUUGGACUUUUUGUAAAAAAAUUACUGUAACGAUUUAAUAUAUGUAAGAUAAAAAAAAUGAUUGAAAAAUAUGUCUAUAGAAAACGUAACAAUUUUUCUUUGAAAACUUACAAUCCAAACACACCCUUAGGUUAUAGCCUUUAAAUGAUUGACGGGCUACUCCCACCGAACUCAGUCGGCCACGCUCUUUCUAUUCUUGUUAAGAGUGACAGCUAAACGGCUUUCAUUGGCUUAUUUAGCAACUAAAGCAUUCAAGUCGUUGUACUACCGAUGAUCCGUGACCUUCACAGGCAAUUUCUGGUUAAAUUGCUGAAAAUCAGUAGUUUAACCCACAACAAGUAUAAAUCUCAAAAAAAAAAAGAGUAAAGGAUCCUGCUGUUUUUCAUUUAACGCAACUCCACCAAACAAAAAAAAAAAAAAAAAGAGAGCACAUUUGGUGUCGUUUUAAGUGAAAAACUGACGUAAAGAGCAGGCAGCAUAACUCAUAACCAGCUUUGUCUGAAAAAGAUAAAAUAGACCCAACCGGCUUAAUACGGCAAUAAAUGGUUAACAAGGUCGGCUACUACCACUGAUAAUGCCCCCGCCCCAGAAAAUAUGGAAUAGAGACCUAAUACCGGAGGCAAGCUGGAAAUUUAUGACCAUUAACAGAAGAAAAGAAAAGAAGAGAGAGUACUUUCUCCGGCAUCCGCUCGUUUUAUUGAAGAAGAAGAAAAGAACCGAGGUACUUUCUACUAGAUAGAAGGAAUUUAGCAGCUGAGCAUUGAAGCCGCAAGUCGAGACAUAAUAAUUGAUAGCCAAUGCGAUUGUGACUAGCCAUCGCCCCACGUGAAGAUCAAGAACUCCGCCUGUAUUUCGUCUAUUAUAUGAGCGCUGGAGUUUCAAAAUAUAACAUGUAAACCUGCAUUGCUCAGUUCUGAACUUUGCGAAAUCCUUGCAUUCCUAACACCAAAACCUCGUACACUUACCGUUGCAAGGAUGUGUGCAGGCACUUCUUACGAUAUUUAGAACUAGCUUUCAGGAUAAGGUCAAAUACAACAAUCGUCCAUGAAGCAGUUACAAGAAACCUCUUGAAUCCAGCAUAUGUCUCCAUAAAAUAGUUGAAAAUGCCUCCUGUAGAUUGUAGAAGACUGAAGUGAAAAUAUACAACUUAUUCUAGGUAUUACACAACUUUCAGGGGUCCCGAAUUAAAUGGGCUUCGAGAAAAGGAGUAUCAGAUAAUUACAGAUUGAUGUCAUUGUUGAAAAAUACCACAACUACUUAAGUUGGCAGCUUGGAGUAUGUUAACAUCUGUACACUUACUACAGCUGUGCAUUCCAAAAAUAUAUGCCACAAGAAGAAUCAAAUGAACAGCAGUUCAACAGCAACUGUAACUUGAUUAAUUUGUAAGCCAUUCUGUUAAUGUGGUCUCAAUAUAAGUUCCAUAAUUGGUUAAGGCCGGCAAAAGGAGUUGAAGAGAAAGAUCUCUCUGUCCUAAUUCCAGUUGCAAACAACCUUGUUGAAAAUGCAAAAUCAAUCAUUUAAACAAAAAGUGCAGGCAAUUUAUAUGGAGCUAAAAUCUAUCUCUGAUCCACAGAAAUAAAGUGCAACAUUUAAACAAAUAUAAAGAAGAGAAUUUGAGAGAACAUAAAGCUGGCUCUGCACCAAUCAGGCAUUACCACAUUAAAAAUCUGGGCCUAUGAGUAUGUAUCUGUCUCUAAUGCACCUAGCAUCAGUAAUUAACAGUAUACAUACAUAGACCUGGUUCACAACAUAUUUUUCCAUGAACUCAAAGUUUUGAAGAUGGUGAACUUAAUCUUUCCAACACCUGUACAACUGAAUCAACAGACGUGAACCAAGAAGUGUUACACAGCUAUACGGAAGAAUUUGCACCAUUCUUGCCAUCUAUUCAUGAACUUUCCCCUUGGAUGCAUAUAUAUACAUAAGUGGUGUCUGGGUGACACCCGGACGUAAUAACUGAACUAACAACUUGGCCUAGCAAUUAGUUCAAAAGAAAUUCAUGGCAAGACAACCAAUUUUUCUAGAUUGUGAAGUUACUUUAAAAGACUGUCAUGAAAGGGAACAACUAUGUCAUGAAAGGGAACACCCUUUAAGAAUUACCCAUAAAAUGUAACCUAUUUGCACAAUAAAAGAUGUAUUUCAUCCUGCGGAGAUGAAGUACAAGGUUGACAGCAAAUACUCAAAUACAUUACACACCAUUUGUCUGGUCUAGAUGCUAACUCCUGAGAUUCAAAUUCUUAAUUAUUUGUUUACGUGUUUGUGAUGGAUAAACAGCAGUUAUAUUUGUGGUACACAACUUACUGAAACAAAAUACUUUGUUAAGUGGAUACUAAAUUUAUGAGAAAUCAAUCUAAGAGACCAGGAAACCAUACAAGAUCAGUUUUUUCUUUAAUUGAAACCUUAACAAUAGGGCAUUCCACAGUGCCUAUCUAAAUAAGGUGCAAAAAGAACGAAGGAUGCAAUUACAAUACAGCAGGUGUAUCAAUGAACCAAAGUCUAAACAUACACUAGCCUUAGUCCUUCAAUAUCAGCAAAAACUAUAAACGAAGAGUCUUUUCUUGGUAAAGUUAUGUAUCUUCAAUAAAUUAUUGAAGCAACACACAAGCAAGUCCUUUGGUGGAGUUAGGUGUACCUGAUGUCAAUAGUUCGAGCCUCCAAACGCCAAAAUGAUUUUCUAAAAGACAAUUAGAAUUCCCGAAGAUGUUGCAGAAGCAACUUGAGCUUGAAAAAUGAAGUCUGUCAGAAGUUAACUUAGGAAUAUUUACAUCCAGCAAGUGUAGAAGUGUUGUUUCCAAUUGCUCAAUAAGCAGACCAACAACUGAGAAGGAACUUAACCAUGUCUUACACAAAAUGAACGGAUCAUUAAAAACACAAAUUUCAGUGUCAAGAGUUUAUCCCUGGAUGAUGGUAGCAGCAGCAACAACCAAAGACACGUCAGCUACUUUUGCAGUGGUUAUAACAGACAAAAUUUAUCUUUUCUGCAAGUUUUGGCUUUAUCGCUAAACAAUUGUGGUUCAUGUCAUAUCAAAGGAUGUUCAACUUUGAGGAAAGCAUCUCACACAGAAGUAUGCACUCUAGAAUAUUAUAUUACGCCAGCUAAGCAGAAUAAACUGUCAAUCCAAAUUGUUGAAGCAGAAAGAAUUUAGGUUCAUAUUACACAGAAGGUUCAGACGAAAAUCCACACUCAUUUCUUGAUGAAAGGAAUGAAAUGGAAAACCAGUAGGCACUGUUAACAGUAUUUUCAGUACCAGAACCAACACAAGACAUCAUAUAUAUCAGAUACCAAAAUACCAGUAACUUGAGUUUGAGUUCACAACUUAUGCCAAAAGCCAAAGCUCAAACAUGUCAAUAAAGGAAGCUGUACUCUCAUUAGGGUUGCAGAAAAUACAGAAAAACAUACAGCUGAUGCAGUAUACUGUUAUAUUGGCAUAUGGUUUCACCACACAUAAAAGAUCUUUUCACCAGAUAGCUAUGCUCAUAAGAAUUGAAAAGAAAAGGUAAUAGUGGCACCCUGGGGCCACAAAGUGGGGUAGAAAAUAAGGAGAAAGACUAUCUUCCAUUUAUCACUGGAAUCUCCAUGGUGAAUGCUAUUGUACAGGAAAAGCUUGAAGUAGACAGGUUUUUACAACGAACCACUAUAUAUCAGAGGCACCUCCUAUAAUCAGCCAAACCAGAUCCUAAUACAUGAUAAACUAUUUUUCCCUAUUAAAUUGCUCAUUUUGCAGGUAUUUCAGCACUCCAUAGGCAACAGUGCCGGCGA
This 4209-nucleotide long non-coding RNA is filed under the name Coffea arabica (coffee). RNAcentral describes it as "long non-coding RNA (CARA_LNC001487)". Lineage: Eukaryota; Viridiplantae; Streptophyta; Magnoliopsida; Gentianales; Rubiaceae. The record is from RNAcentral.